GAAAACAGGACAAACAAACAACCUUUCAUCAAUUGUCGGUUGUCUGUCUACUCCCCAUUUCGAGCAAUCACCUACAAUAAGAGUCUUCAAUGAGAGUUGCUCCCAUAAAUGCCAAAAUAACAUUUUCGAUUUAUGGAGGGUUAAAGUUGGGAACAAAAACAUGAAAGUGGG
Long non-coding RNA from Octopus sinensis (East Asian common octopus), 171 nucleotides. RefSeq lists it as uncharacterized. The record is from RefSeq and is a predicted model, not a curated record. NCBI's taxonomy places the organism in Eukaryota, Metazoa, Mollusca, Cephalopoda, Octopoda, Octopodidae. The transcript has 3 exons.